RNAcentral lists this ribosomal RNA (550 nucleotides) under uncultured bacterium. Its description in RNAcentral is "bacterial SSU rRNA". It matches the Rfam family "Bacterial small subunit ribosomal RNA", at positions 355 to 896 of the family's 1533-position model. The record is from RNAcentral.
UGGGGAAUCUUCCGUNAUGGACGAAAGUCUGACGGAGCAACGCCGCGUGAGUGAUGACGGCCUUCGGGUUGUAAAGCUCUGUUAAUCGGGACGAAUGGUUCUUGUGCAAAUAGUGCGAGGAUUUGACGGUACCGGAAUAGAAAGCCACGGCUAACUACGUGCCAGCAGCCGCGGUAAUACGUAGGUGGCAAGCGUUGUCCGGAAUUAUUGGGCGUAAAGCGCGCGCAGGCGGAUUGGUCAGUCUGUCUUAAAAGUUCGGGGCUUAACCCCGUGAUGGGAUGGAAACUGCCAAUCUAGAGUAUCGGAGAGGAAAGUGGAAUUCCUAGUGUAGCGGUGAAAUGCGUAGAUAUUAGGAAGAACACCAGUGGCGAAGGCGACUUUCUGGACGAAAACUGACGCUGAGGCGCGAAAGCCAGGGGAGCGAACGGGAUUAGAUACCCCGGUAGUCCUGGCCGUAAACGAUGGGUACUAGGUGUAGGAGGUAUCGACCCCUUCUGUGCCGGAGUUAACGCAAUAAGUACCCCGCCUGGGGAGUACGACCGCAAGGUUG